AUGAACGCUGGCGGCGUGCCUAAUACAUGCAAGUCGAGCGAACAGACGAGGAGCUUGCUCCUCUGACGUUAGCGGCGGACGGGUGAGUAACACGUGGAUAACCUACCUAUAAGACUGGGAUAACUUCGGGAAACCGGAGCUAAUACCGGAUAAUAUAUUGAACCGCAUGGUUCAAUAGUGAAAGACGGUUUUGCUGUCACUUAUAGAUGGAUCCGCGCCGCAUUAGCUAGUUGGUAAGGUAACGGCUUACCAAGGCAACGAUGCGUAGCCGACCUGAGAGGGUGAUCGGCCACACUGGAACUGAGACACGGUCCAGACUCCUACGGGAGGCAGCAGUAGGGAAUCUUCCGCAAUGGGCGAAAGCCUGACGGAGCAACGCCGCGUGAGUGAUGAAGGUCUUCGGAUCGUAAAACUCUGUUAUUAGGGAAGAACAAAUAUGUAAGUAACUAUGCACGUCUUGACGGUACCUAAUCAGAAAGCCACGGCUAACUACGU
This 495-nucleotide ribosomal RNA is filed under the name uncultured bacterium. Its description in RNAcentral is "partial 16S ribosomal RNA". It matches the Rfam family "Bacterial small subunit ribosomal RNA", at positions 29 to 506 of the family's 1533-position model. The record is from RNAcentral.